This 647-nucleotide long non-coding RNA is filed under the name Catharus ustulatus (Swainson's thrush). Its description in RNAcentral is "lncRNA (ENSCUSG00005006224.1)". The record is from RNAcentral. Lineage: Eukaryota; Metazoa; Chordata; Aves; Passeriformes; Turdidae.
CAGACUGUGCAUGAGAGCACAAUCACACAAAAGAUUGAAAAAGAGGAGAGUGAAUGAGGGGCCACUUUGGUGUCCUGCCACAGGCUGGGCACAGCCUCAGUUUGCAAUCAGAGGGCUCCCCUGGUGCAGUCCAUGGCUGCUUGGCAGAGGGCUGCUGCGGCUGGCAGGGUGGCUCUGUCCUCAGCAGCAGUCAUCUCCUCGGCAUCUCCGGCUGGAGCUCGCUGAAGAGCGCACAGGAAUGCUGCUUAGGACUCCUGCCUGACCUUGGAGUAGCACCAAAGUCCUGGAACGCUGGGAUGGAAGUGUUAGCUCCUGAGAAGAAAACACAUGAAAAGAAUGAAGAUUUGCAACAGUAUCCUCAGAAGCCUGCAGGCUGUAAGAAAAUGCUUAGGAAUUGCUGCUUGAUAAAGCGAAUUUUUGCCUGGAAAAGUCUGAGCUCUAAAGUCUGGAUCGAUUUCUGCUUUUAAUGAGCCAUGACACUUCAAGAAAUGUAAAGCAUGUUUGAAUUCACCAUGGGUUGUGUUGAUUUUUUUGUUUAUUUUUUUUUGUUUUUUGUUGGGGUUUUUUUGUUGUUGUUGUUUUGGGGUUUUGGUGGUUUUGGUUUUGGGUUUUUAAUAAAAUUUGUUUUGUUUCUUGUUUAAUUUUCU